RNAcentral lists this ribosomal RNA (477 nucleotides) under Candidatus Scalindua marina (nom. nud.). RNAcentral describes it as "bacterial SSU rRNA". It matches the Rfam family "Bacterial small subunit ribosomal RNA", at positions 365 to 832 of the family's 1533-position model. The record is from RNAcentral. Lineage: Bacteria; Pseudomonadati; Planctomycetota; Candidatus Brocadiia; Candidatus Brocadiales; Candidatus Scalinduaceae.
UUCGCAAUGCCCGAAAGGGUGACGAAGCGACGCCGCGUGGGUGAAGAAGGCCUUCGGGUUGUAAAGCCCUGUCAGGAGUUAUGAAAUGUAGGUACGACAAUACCGUGCUUAUUUGACAAAGGCUCCAAAGGAAGCCACGGCUAACUCUGUGCCAGCAGCCGCGGUAAUACAGAGGUGGCAAGCGUUGUUCGGAAUUAUUGGGCGUAAAGAGCACGUAGGUGGGUUUGUAAGUCAGGUGUGAAAGCCCUCUGUUCAACAGGAGAAUUGCAUCUGAAACUACAAGUCUUGAGUAUAGGAGGGGAGAAUGGAACUUCUGGUGGGGCGGUGAAAUGCGUAGAUAUCAGAAGGAACGCCGGCUGCGAAAGCGAUUCUCAGGCCUAUUACUGACACUCAGUGUGCGAAAGCUAGGGGAGCAAACGGGAUUAGAUACCCCGGUAGUCCUAGCCGUAAACGAUGGGCACUAAGUAGAGGGGUUUU